AUACGUAGGUGACGAGCGUUAUCCGGAAUUACUGGGCGUAAAGCGCACGCAGGUGGCUGUUCAAGUCUGGCGUGAAAUCUCUUGGCUUAACCAGGAGCGGUCGCUGGAAACUGAAUGGCUUGAGGCGAUGAGAGGGGUGCAGAAUUCCCGGUGUAGUGGUGGAAUGCGUAGAUAUCGGGAGGAAUACCAGUGGCGAAGGCGGCACCCUGGCGUCGUACUGACACUCAUGUGCGAAAGCGUGGGGAGUGAACGGGAUUAGAUACCCCGGUAAUCCACGCUGUAAACGAUGAACACUAGGUGUGGGUGGAGUCAAUCUAUCUGUGCCAAAGCAAACGCGUUAAGUGUUCCGCCUGGGAAGUACGGCCGCAAGGCUAAA
This 376-nucleotide ribosomal RNA is filed under the name uncultured bacterium. Its description in RNAcentral is "bacterial SSU rRNA". It matches the Rfam family "Bacterial small subunit ribosomal RNA", at positions 523 to 898 of the family's 1533-position model. The record is from RNAcentral.